AGUGAACGCUGGCGGUAGGCCUAACACAUGCAAGUCGAACGGCAGCACAGUAAGAGCUUGCUCUUACGGGUGGCGAGUGGCGGACGGGUGAGGAAUACAUCGGAAUCUACUUUUUCGUGGGGGAUAACGUAGGGAAACUUACGCUAAUACCGCAUACGACCUACGGGUGAAAGCAGGGGAUCUUCGGACCUUGCGCGAUUGAAUGAGCCGAUGUCGGAUUAGCUAGUUGGCGGGGUAAAGGCCCACCAAGGCGACGAUCCGUAGCUGGUCUGAGAGGAUGAUCAGCCACACUGGAACUAGGACACGGUCCAGACUCCUACGGGAGGCAGCAGUGGGGAAUAUUGGACAAUGGGCGGAAGCCUGAUCCAGCCAUACCGCGUGGGUGAAGAAGGCCUUCGGGUUGUAAAGCCCUUUUGUUGGGAAAGAAAAGCAGCAGGUUAAUACCCCGCUGUUCUGACGGUACCCAAAGAAUAAGCACCGGCUACCUUCGU
Molecule: ribosomal RNA, 491 nt
Filed under: uncultured bacterium
Lineage: Bacteria
Description: partial 16S ribosomal RNA
Rfam family: Bacterial small subunit ribosomal RNA
Source: RNAcentral